Molecule: long non-coding RNA, 4730 nt
Organism: Bufo gargarizans (Asiatic toad)
Lineage: Eukaryota; Metazoa; Chordata; Amphibia; Anura; Bufonidae
Exons: 7
Source: RefSeq, a predicted model, not a curated record
AGUCCACGGUAACAUCCGAGGCCAUCAUUUCUUCCAGCAUAUUGACUGGGUCUCGGUGGAAGCCCUUAGGAUGACUCCACCACACAUCCCUGUACCAUCUACACCUCAAAACUGUGCCAGUUGUUUCAACCUGGACAGAAUGGAGGCAGCAGAGGCCAAAAAGCGACGUCUACCACUGAAACAUCAGGCCAUUUUCAGAGGGUUUUCAUUUGACACCUUGUAAACCCUCCACCAGCUCUAAUGUCACCAGAGCAAGAUGUCCUCCUGGACUCCUGGAGAAGAUCAACGGAUGGAAAGAAGAACGGACACAGGCCACAGUAUAAAGACCAAUAUCAAAAUGGAUGCUUGACAGUGAAGACAACGAACACCGAUGGAUGCGUUAAAACUUGCACAGUUGGCCGUAAGUAUGAGCGCAAGAACAUCUGCGCUCAUUUCUAAUCGUAGGUAUUUGUAAUUCACCGGCAACUGAUCUUCUCAAAUUCAUGAUAGCGCCAUCUUGUGAUGCUGUCUUGGGUUGGAGAAAAUCAAGACAACCCGGCUAUUAAGGGGUGGAGGAGGCCGGAUUUUAUUUUUUUAACCACAUGCCUACGAUUAUUUCACAUUUGACCCACUAUAUACAGAGUUAUACUCUGUAUAUAGUCAUUUUUUUUAAGUUACCGGUAAUAAGAUUUCCUCUUGUCCAUGACAGCAUUGUCCUAGGUGAGGGGAAAUAGGCGCGGAAUGGCCGGCUAUUAAGGGGUGGAGGAGGCCGGAUCUUUUUUUUUUUUUUCAGACUAACACCUGUCAACAGAGGACACCAUUGAACUCAGCAAGUUGAAAGCAGAAGACCAGAACAUCAAUAACUCCUCCAGAGAGAUCCUGCCAACCGCUUAGGAGUCCACGGUAACAUCCGAGGCCAUCAUUUCUUCCAGCAUAUUGACUGGGUCUCGGUGGAAGCCCUUAGGAUGACUCCACCACACAUCCCUGUACCAUCUAUACCUCAAAACUGUGCCAGUUGUUUCAACCUGGACAGAAUGGAGGCAGCAGAGGCCAAAAAGCGAGGUCUACCACUGAAACAUCAGGCCAUUUUCAGAGGGUUUUCAUUUGUCACCUAGUAAACCCUCCACCAGCUCUAAUGUCACCAGAGCAAGAUGUCCUCCUGGACUCCUGGAGAAGAUCGGAAAGAAGAACGGACACAGCAUACAGUCUAUGUAUAUCAUACCAGAUCAUAUGGACUUUGUACUGAUUUAUUAUGUGAUAAAGGCUACAGUAUAAAGACCAAUAUCAAGAUGGAUGCUUGACAGUGAAGACAACGAACACCGAUGGAUGCCUUGAAACCUGCACAGCUGGCCGUAAGUAUGAGAGCAAGAACAUCUGUGCUCAUUUCAAAUUGUAGGUAUUUGUAAUUCACCGGCAACUGAGCUUCUCAAAUUCAUGAUAGCGCCACCUUGUGAUGCUGUCUUGGGUUGGAGAAAAUCAAGACAACCCGGCUACUAAGGGGUGGAGGAGGCCGGAUUUUUAUUUUUAUUUUUUUAACCACGUGCCUACGACUUUUUUACAUUUGACCCACUAUAUACAGAGUUAUACUCUGUUUAUAGUCUUUUUUUUUUUAAGUUACCGGUAAUAAGAUUUCCUCUUGUCCAUGACAGCAUUGUCCUAGGUGAGGGGAAAUAGGCGCGGAAUGGCCGGCUAUUAAGGGGUGGAGGAGGCCGGAUCUUUUUUUUGUUUUUCAGACUAACACCUGUCAACAGAGGACACCAAUGAACCCAGCAAGUGGAAAGCAGAAGACCAGAGCAUCCAUAAACUAACACCUGUCAACAAAGGACACCAAUGAACCCAGCAAGUAGAAAGCAGAAGACCAGAACAUCCAUAAGUAAGUAUAUGCAACAUAAUAUCUUUUCUCCUUUCUUUUCACAGGCUUGUUGAAUUCACCGGUAAUCGAUCUCCUCAAAUUCACGACAGCGUCACAUUGUGAUGCUAUCUUGGAUUGGAGAAAGUCGAGAAUGGCCCGCUAUUAAAGGGUGGAGGUGGUUGGAAUUUUUUAACCACAUGCCUGUGAUCAUUUUAAAUAUGACCCACUAUAUACAGAGUUAUACUUUGUAUAUAGUCAUUUUUUUUAAAGUUACCGGUAAUGAGAUUUCCUCUUGCCCAUGACAGCAUUGUCCUAGGUGAGGGGAAAUAGGUGCGGAAUGGCCGGCUAUUAAGGGGUGGAGGAGGCCGGAUCUUUUUUUUUUUUUUUCAGACUAACACCUGUCAACAGAGGACACCAAUGAACCCAGCAAGUAGAAACCAGAAGACCAGCACAUCCAUAAGUAAGUAUAAGCAACAUAAUAUAUUUUCUCCUUUCUAAUCACAGGCAUGUUGAAUUCACUGAUAACUGACCUCAAAUUCAUGACAGUGACACCUUGUGAUGCUAUCUUGGAUUGGAGAAAGUCAAGAAUGGCCCGCUAUUAAAGGGUGGAGCUGUUUUUUUUUAUUUAUUUUUUUAACCACAUGCCUGAGACAAUUUUUAAUGUCACUCACUAUGUACAAAGUCAUACUCUGUACAUAGUAUUUUUUUAACAUUACCAGUAAUAAUAUUUAAUGUUGUCCAUGACAGUACUGUCCUAGGUGAGAGCAAAUAGGUGCAGAAAGGGGUGGAGGAGGUCAGAUCUAUUCCGAAUAAGACCUAAGAACACCUGCAACACCUAUGAUUGGCACUGGACUGAAGUAAAACAAGAUCUUCAAGAAUGAAUGCAUGCUUGACAAUGAAGACAAAAAAAAACCCACCAAUAACACCAGGUUAUGCAGCAGCUGAGGUAUUUAGUAUAAUUGCCACUACAUCUGGAAAUAGGAGACAAGGGGUGACAUUUAUCAAUGUUUCUACGCCACAAUUGUGCCAUAAUUUGCGACUUUUAGAGGUUCUUGUGAGAACAGAACGGCAAUGGCCCCCUGCUGGGGGUGAUCACAGAACGGCGAUGGCCCCCUGCUGGGGGUGAGCACAGAACGGAGAUGGCCCCCUGCUGGGGGUGAGCACAGAACGGCGAUGGCCCCCUGCUGGGGGUGAGCACAGAACGGCGAUGGCCCCCUGCUGGGGAUGAGCACAGAACGGCGAUGGCCCCCUGCUGGGGGUGAUCACAGAACGGCGAUGGCCCCCUGCUGGGGGUGAGCACAGAACGGCGAUGGCCCCCUGCUGGGGGUGAGCACAGAACGGCGAUGGCCCCCUGCUGGGGGUGAGCACAGAACGGCGAUAGCCCCCUGCUGGGGGUGAGCACAGAACGGCGAUGGCCCCCUGCUGGGGGUGAGCACAGAAUGGCGAUAGCCCCCUGCUGGGGGUGAGCACAGAACGGCGAUGGCCCCCUGCUGGGGGUGAGCACAGAAUGGCGAUGGCCCCCUGCUGGGGGUGAUCACAGAACGGCGAUGGCCCCCUGCUGGGGGUGAGCACAGAACGGCGAUGACCCCCUGCUGGGGGUGAGCACAGAAUGGCGAUGGCCCCCUGCUGGGGGUGAUCACAGAACGGCGAUGGCCCCCUGCUGGGGGUGAGCACAGAAUGGUGAUGGCUCCUUGCUUCACUACUGCAUUCUACUGCAUCUCUAUCCUGAGGAGGCUGAUACAGUCGAAAUGGGGAAAUCCUGCAGCCCUCCUGAGGUAGAGGUAGACGUCUGGGAUUGUCUCACCACUACAGGGACUUUUAGGAGGCUGGCUGCAGCAGUGUGCCACAUGGACAAAAACGUAUGGCAAAAUCGCAUGUUUUAUUUUUUACUUCAGUUUUGCAAUGCCAUUAUUGGCUGUACGACAUUUACAGGUCACUAUCUGCAUUGCAAAACUGUGGCACAGUAAAACUUAUUGUUUCGCCAUUUUUGCUGCCUUAGUGAUCAGUGCACAGCCACAGAGGCUGUACCCCUCUCAUCAUACAUUUUGUUACUAGUCUUAUAAAAAAUAGUGUCAGACUGGGGUGCCUAGGCCCCACCAGUAACAUUUAUUCUGGGGGCCCAAUGUACAGCUACAUGCAAUACCUGCUCACACAGCAUGACGUUACGAGAUGAUUGAUCAUAGGUGUCUCUGCACCGACUUCAUGAUGGCAGGUCCCUGGGGAAAGAAGAUGCUUGCUGGUUUGCCUUCUAUACCUAGAAGUAAUCUCAACCACCUAAUGCAUCUAUAAUAGAGUAUUUUAUGUGAGCAUAUGCUGGUUGAGGCGCUGUAUGCUGCCCCCAGUCUACUCUAUUAUGUGCCCCUUGUGCAGGGGGUGGGGGGUUAGGGGCCCACCUUGCUCAGGGGCCCACCGGGGUAUUCACCUGUUCCCCUGUGGGCCAGUCCGAGCCUGCUUCUAAACAUAAGUGAUAUUUCCCAAAAACUAUAACAUAAAAUAUAUAUCUUCUAGAAUCCACCUUAUGUUCAGGCAGAAGAACAAUCUACAUGAAGGGUUGAUCUGUCUAAUCACGUAGUGGUAAAAACCGGCAGAAACACUAAGGCUGGGGCUACACAAUGACAUUUGCUGCGCAACGAUUUGUCGCAGUAACAUUGCGCGACAAAUUUUAUAAUGUUAGUUUAUGGUGUCGCAGCAUGUCGUGGUGCAACACAAUAGGCCAGGGUUAUAAAAUAUGUUAAGCGACAUUGGUGCAACAUGAAUGUCGCGCGACAUAUUUAACAGUGUAGUUGUACCUUAUAUGUCGCACAACACCUCGCUGUGUAGCCCUAGCCUAAGGCCUCAUGCACACGGCCGUUGUUUUGGUCUGCAUCCGAGCCGCAGUUUUGGCGGCACGGAUGCGGAC